UGGGGAAUAUUGCACAAUGGAGGGAACUCUGAUGCAGCGACGCCGCGUGAACGAAGAAGGCUUUCGAGUCGUAAAGUUCUUUUAUAUGGGAAGAUAAUGACGGUACCAUAAGAAAAAGCCCCGGCUAACUACGUGCCAGCAGCCGCGGUAAUACGUAGGGGGCUAGCGUUGUCCGGAAUCACUGGGCGUAAAGGGUUCGCUGGCGGAAAUGCAAGUCAGGUGUAAAAGGCAGUAGCUUAACUACUGUAAGCAUUUGAAACUGCAUAUCUUGAGAAGAGUAGAGGUAAGUGGAAUUUUUAGUGUAGCGGUGAAAUGCGUAGAUAUUAAAAAGAAUACCGGUGGCGAAGGCGACUUACUGGGCUCAUUCUGACGCUGAGGAACGAAAGCGUGGGUAGCAAACAGG
This 403-nucleotide ribosomal RNA is filed under the name Verrucomicrobiota bacterium. RNAcentral describes it as "Verrucomicrobia bacterium partial 16S ribosomal RNA". It matches the Rfam family "Bacterial small subunit ribosomal RNA", at positions 355 to 776 of the family's 1533-position model. Lineage: Bacteria; Pseudomonadati; Verrucomicrobiota. RNAcentral also lists the same sequence under 1 other name. The record is from RNAcentral.